Molecule: ribosomal RNA, 806 nt
Filed under: uncultured bacterium
Lineage: Bacteria
Description: bacterial SSU rRNA
Rfam family: Bacterial small subunit ribosomal RNA
Source: RNAcentral
AGAGUUUGAUCCUGGCUCACGAUGAACGCUGGCGGCGUGCUUAACACAUGCAAGUCGAACGAAGCACUUUAUUCAGAUUCUUUCGGGAUGAUGAAUUUAGUGACUUAGUGGCGGACGGGUGAGUAACGCGUGGGUAACCUGCCUUACACAGGGGGAUAACAGUUAGAAAUGACUGCUAAUACCGCAUAAAACAGCAGCACCGCAUGGUGCAACUGUCAAAGAUUUAUCGGUGUAAGAUGGACCCGCGUCUGAUUAGCCAGUUGGUGGGGUAACGGCCUACCAAAGCGACGAUCAGUAGCCGACCUGAGAGGGUGACCGGCCACAUUGGGACUGAGACACGGCCCAAACUCCUACGGGAGGCAGCAGUGGGGAAUAUUGGACAAUGGGCGAAAGCCUGAUCCAGCGACGCCGCGUGAGCGAUGAAGUAUUUCGGUAUGUAAAGCUCUAUCAGCAGGGAAGAAAAUGACGGUACCUGACUAAGAAGCCCCGGCUAACUACGUGCCAGCAGCCGCGGUAAUACGUAGGGGGCAAGCGUUAUCCGGAAUUACUGGGUGUAAAGGGAGCGUAGACGGAAGUGCAAGUCAGAAGUGAAAGCCCGGGGCUUAACCCCGGGACUGCUUUUGAAACUGUGCAUCUAGAGUGCAGGAGAGGUAAGCGGAAUUCCUAGUGUAGCGGCGAAAUGCGUAGAUAUUAGGAGGAACACCGGUGGCGAAGGCGGCUUACUGGACUGUAACUGACGUUGAGGCUCGAAAGCGUGGGGAGCAAACAGGAUUAGAUACCCUGGUAGUCCACGCCGUAAACGAUGA